GAGUUUGAUCCUGGCUCAGGACGAACGCUGGCGGCGUGCCUAAUACAUGCAAGUCGAGCGAGUCUGCCUUGAAGAUCGGAGUGCUUGCACUCUGUGAAACAAGAUACAGGCUAGCGGCGGGACGGGGUGAGUAACACGUGGGUAACCUGCCCAAGAGAUCGGGAUAACACCUGGAAACAGAUGCUAAUACCGGAUAACAACAGAUGAUGCCUAUCAACUGUUUAAAAGAUGGUUCUGCUAUCACUCUUGGAUGGACCUGCGGUGCAUUAGCUAGUUGGUAGGGUAACGGCCUACCAAGGCGAUGAUGCAUAGCCGAGUUGAGAGACUGAUCGGCCACAUUGGGACUGAGACACGGCCCAAAACUCCUACGGGAGGCAGCAGUAGGGAAUCUUCCACAAUGGACGCAAGUCUGAUGGAGCAACGCCGCGUGAGUGAAGAAGGGUUUCGGCUCGUAAAGCUCUGUUGUUGGUGAAGAAGGACAGGGGUAGUAACUGACCUUUUGG
This 503-nucleotide ribosomal RNA is filed under the name uncultured microorganism. RNAcentral's name for it is "bacterial SSU rRNA". It matches the Rfam family "Bacterial small subunit ribosomal RNA", at positions 9 to 476 of the family's 1533-position model. The record is from RNAcentral.